RNAcentral lists this ribosomal RNA (301 nucleotides) under uncultured bacterium. RNAcentral describes it as "partial 16S ribosomal RNA". It matches the Rfam family "Bacterial small subunit ribosomal RNA", at positions 509 to 807 of the family's 1533-position model. The record is from RNAcentral.
CAGCCGCCGCGGGAAAACGAAGGGUGCAAGCGUUACUCGGAAUUACUGGGCGUAAAGCGUGCGUAGGUGGUGGUUUAAGUCCGUUGUGAAAGCCCUGGGCUCAACCUGGGAAUUGCAGUGGAUACUGGGUCACUAGAGUGUGGUAGAGGACAGUGGAAUUUUCGGUGUAGCAGUGAAAUGCGUAGAGAUCGGAAGGAACAUCUGUGGCGAAGGCGACUAUCUGGGCCAACACUGACACUGAGGCACGAAAGCGUGGGGAGCAAACAGGAUUAGAUACCCCUGUAGUCCCUGUCUCUUAUAC